Manis pentadactyla (Chinese pangolin) is the source of this 1172-nucleotide RNA transcript. It is a transcript of the gene named shisa family member 4, with no coding region annotated. The transcript has 6 exons. NCBI's taxonomy places the organism in Eukaryota, Metazoa, Chordata, Mammalia, Pholidota, Manidae. The record is from RefSeq and is a predicted model, not a curated record.
GGCCAGGUCUCCUCGGCCGGUGCCCAGAGGCCCGUUAUGCCCACGGUGGCUCCAGCGGGAGGGGCCGCCGUGCAGCCGGGUAAGGGGGAGCUGGGCAGUACCGGGCUGGGUGAGGGGCGCUCAGCCCCGGAGCCCGGCGGGUGGGCGUCGCCGGGAGGAGGACCCCUGGGCCGGGCGCGGCGUUGGGGGCAGGGUUACCGCGAGCCCGCCGUUAGGCCCGCCCCCGAAGGAGGCGGGAGAGGCGCCCGAGCCCGGCGGCGGGCUGGACCCCGCAGAGCGUCCGCCCGUCCGCCUGCUCCUGCGGUCCGUUCCCGCGGCGGCCGGGCCCGGCCGCUCCCGAUCCGCCAUGCCGCCCGCGGGGCUCUGCGGGGCCGCGCCGCUCGCUGCGAUCGCCCUCUUGGUGCUGGGGGCCCCGCUGGCGCUGGCCGGCGAGGACUGCCUGUGGUACCUGGACCGCAAUGGCUCCUGGCAUCCGGGCUUUAACUGCGAGUUCUUCACCUUCUGCUGCGGGACCUGCUACCAGCGGUACUGCUGCCGGGACCUGACCUUGCUCAUCACAGAGCGUCAGCAGAAGCACUGCCUGGCCUUCAGUCCUAAGACCAUAGCAGGGAUCGCCUCCGCCGUGAUCCUCUUUGUGGCCGUAGUCGCCACCACCAUCUGCUGCUUCCUCUGUUCCUGCUGCUACUUGUACCGCCGGCGCCAGCAUCUGCAGAGCCCCUUUGAAGGCCAGGAGAUUCCAAUGACAGGCAUCCCAGUGCAGCCAGUGUACCCGUACCCCCAGGACCCCAAAGCUGGCCCCAUCCCCCCACAGCCUGGCUUCAUGUACCCACCUGGCGGUCCUGCUCCCCAGUACCCACUCUACCCCGCUGGGCCCCCUAUCUACAACCCUGCAGCCCCUCCCCCCUACAUGCCAUCCCAGCCCUCCUACCCAGGAGCCUGAGGGACCAGUCAGCCUCUGCUGCCCUUCAGUGAUACCCCUCUCCGGUAUCUGCAUCUGGCUCUGGGUUCCUCUGCUCCCAGGAUCCAAGCCAGGAACGUCGAGGCCCCUCCUGUUGGUCCCCUGUGGGCCUCGGUGGGGCAGGGAGGGGGAUCCGUCGUCAGUCAACAGGAGCCCUCCUCCGGCUGCCCCACUGGCAGGUCUCUGCUGCUGGAUUAAAGCUGUACAGAUGUAA